AGAGCGAACGCUGGCGGCAGGCUUAACACAUGCAAGUCGAGCGGGCGUAGCAAUACGUCAGCGGCAGACGGGUGAGUAACGCGUGGGAACAUACCUUUGGUUCGGAACAACACAGGGAAACUUGUGCUAAUACCGGAUAAGCCCUUACGGGGAAAGAUUUAUCGCCGAAAGAUUGGCCCGCGUCUGAUUAGCUAGUUGGUGAGGUAACGGCUCACCAAGGCGACGAUCAGUAGCUGGUCUGAGAGGAUGAUCAGCCACAUUGGGACUGAGACACGGCCCAAACUCCUACGGGAGGCAGCAGUGGGAAUAUUGGACAAUGGGCGCAAGCCUGAUCCAGCCAUGCCGCGUGAGUGAUGAAGGCCCUAGGGUUGUAAAGCUCUUUUGUGCGGGAAGAUAAUGACGGUACCGCAAGAAUAACGCCCGGACUAACUUCGUGCCAGCAGCCGC
This 447-nucleotide ribosomal RNA is filed under the name uncultured bacterium. Its description in RNAcentral is "SSU rRNA". It matches the Rfam family "Bacterial small subunit ribosomal RNA", at positions 26 to 518 of the family's 1533-position model. The record is from RNAcentral.